AGUAACGAUAAAGCGGGUGAAAAGCCCGCUCGCCGGAAGACCAAGGGUUCCUGUCCAACGUUAAUCGGGGCAGGGUGAGUCGACCCCUAAGGCGAGGCCGAAAGGCGUAGUCGAUGGGAAACAGGUUAAUAUUCCUGUACUUGGUGUUACUGCGAAGGGGGGACGGAGAAGGCUAUGUUGGCCGGGCGACGGUUGUCCCGGUUUAAGCGUGUAGGCUGGUUUUCCAGGCAAAUCCGGAAAAUCAAGGCUGAGGCGUGAUGACGAGGCACUACGGUGCUGAAGCAACAAAUGCCCUGCUUCCAGGAAAAGCCUCUAAGCAUCAGGUAACAUCAAAUCGUACCCCAAACCGACACAGGUGGUCAGGUAGAGAAUACCAAGCGCUUGAGAGAACUCGGGUGAAGGAACUAGGCAAAAUGGUGCCGUAACUUCGGGAGAAGGCACGCUGAUACGUAGGUGAAGUCCCUCGCGGAUGGAGCUGAAAUCAGUCGAAGAUACCAGCUGGCUGCAACUGUUUAUUAAAAACAC
This 525-nucleotide ribosomal RNA is filed under the name Escherichia sp. E2586. Its description in RNAcentral is "partial 23S ribosomal RNA". It matches the Rfam family "Bacterial large subunit ribosomal RNA", at positions 1305 to 1816 of the family's 2925-position model. Lineage: Bacteria; Pseudomonadati; Pseudomonadota; Gammaproteobacteria; Enterobacterales; Enterobacteriaceae. The record is from RNAcentral.